UUUGUACACACCGCCCGUCACACCACGAGAGUUGGUUGCACCUGAAGUAGCAGGCCUAACCUUAGGGAAGGAUGCUCCGAGGGUGUGGUUAGCGAUUGGGGUGAAGUCGUAACAAGGUAUCCGUACGGGAACGUGCGGAUGGAUCACCUCCUUUCUAAGGAGUAUUCUUGUUGUUCUUUCUUCUUUGGAAGGGUUCGCGCAUGGACCUUGGAAACUGUAUAGUAGAUCAAAAAACAAACAAGAAUAAAGAACAAAGAACUCUAGUUUCUAGAGUUAGCUGUCAAAGAAAAAACAAGAUUA
RNAcentral lists this unclassified non-coding RNA (300 nucleotides) under Fusobacterium necrophorum. RNAcentral's name for it is "partial 16S-23S ribosomal intergenic spacer". The stretch from base 1 to 154 matches the Rfam family "Bacterial small subunit ribosomal RNA", at positions 1380 to 1533 of the family's 1533-position model. Lineage: Bacteria; Fusobacteriati; Fusobacteriota; Fusobacteriia; Fusobacteriales; Fusobacteriaceae. The record is from RNAcentral.